Molecule: ribosomal RNA, 220 nt
Filed under: Klebsiella pneumoniae
Lineage: Bacteria; Pseudomonadati; Pseudomonadota; Gammaproteobacteria; Enterobacterales; Enterobacteriaceae
Description: partial 23S ribosomal RNA
Rfam family: Bacterial large subunit ribosomal RNA
Source: RNAcentral
CGGCCUGCGCGGAAGAUGUAACGGGGCUAAACCAUGCACCGAAGCUGCGGCAGCGACACUAUGUGUUGUUGGGUAGGGGAGCGUUCUGUAAGCCUGCGAAGGUGUGCUGUGAGGCAUGCUGGAGGUAUCAGAAGUGCGAAUGCUGACAUAAGUAACGAUAAAGCGGGUGAAAAGCCCGCUCGCCGGAAGACCAAGGGUUCCUGUCCAACGUUAAUCGGGG